UAAGGUAGGGAUCAACAAAACAGGCUCAUGAAUACCAUCAAUAUCUAGUGGAGGGGCAGCAAUGAAAGCAAUAAUAAAUACAGAAGUUACGGUUAAUAAGGUAGGAAUCAUCAAAACACCAAACCAUCUAAUGUAAAGACGGUU
This is a long non-coding RNA of Neltuma alba, 144 nucleotides long. RefSeq lists it as uncharacterized. Lineage: Eukaryota; Viridiplantae; Streptophyta; Magnoliopsida; Fabales; Fabaceae. The record is from RefSeq and is a predicted model, not a curated record. The transcript has 3 exons.